RNAcentral lists this ribosomal RNA (253 nucleotides) under uncultured bacterium. RNAcentral's name for it is "partial 16S ribosomal RNA". It matches the Rfam family "Bacterial small subunit ribosomal RNA", at positions 524 to 776 of the family's 1533-position model. The record is from RNAcentral.
UACAGAGGUCUCAAGCGUUGUUCGGAAUCACUGGGCGUAAAGGGUGCGUAGGUGGCGUGGCAAGUCAGAUGUGAAAGCCCGGGGCUCAACCUCGGAAUUGCAUCCGAUACUGCCAUGCUGGAGUACUGAAGAGGUGACUAGAAUUCUCGGUGUAGCAGUGAAAUGCGUAGAUAUCGAGAGGAAUACCAAAGGCGAAGGCAGGUCACUGGGCAGUUACUGACACUGAGGCACGAAGGCCAGGGGAGCAAACGGG